This 165-nucleotide ribosomal RNA is filed under the name Malus toringoides. RNAcentral describes it as "5.8S ribosomal RNA". The stretch from base 3 to 150 matches the Rfam family "5.8S ribosomal RNA". Rfam says of the family: 5.8S ribosomal RNA (5.8S rRNA) is a component of the large subunit of the eukaryotic ribosome. It is transcribed by RNA polymerase I as part of the 45S precursor that also contains 18S and 28S rRNA. Functionally, it is thought that 5.8S rRNA may be involved in ribosome translocation. The record is from RNAcentral. Lineage: Eukaryota; Viridiplantae; Streptophyta; Magnoliopsida; Rosales; Rosaceae.
CGGCAACGGAUAUCUCGGCUCUCGCAUCGAUGAGGAACGUAGCGAAAUGCGAUACUUGGUGUGAAUUGCAGAAUCCCGUGAACCAUCGAGUCUUUGAACGCAAGUUGCGCCCGAAGCCAUCAGGCCGAGGGCACGCCUGCCUGGGCGUCACACGCCGUUGCCCCC